GACCCUGCAAGAACAUUUUGUGUAGGUGGAGGAACUGGCAACACUUCUGGUACAAUUUCAGCAUGUUUGUUUUUUAAAUAAGCCCUGUUUUUUUUUCAGAAUACAACAGAAACAGCCAUCAGAUAUUUUUCCUAUUCUGAAACACUGGUUUUGCUACUCCAGGAAGACCUGUCCUCAACAGUUUCAGCUGUACACAGCAAGCAAAACUGAAUUUGACUCAGAACUGAGGAGGAUACCACAUUCUUGCUUGAAGUCUUCUCUGGGAAGUGGAAGCAGAAUCCAUGAAGUAUUUCUAAGCUUGCUUUGAAAUGAGAAGGCCGAAACA
Molecule: long non-coding RNA, 325 nt
Filed under: Zonotrichia albicollis (white-throated sparrow)
Lineage: Eukaryota; Metazoa; Chordata; Aves; Passeriformes; Passerellidae
Description: lncRNA (ENSZALG00000009948.1)
Source: RNAcentral